UACGGAGGGUGCGAGCGUUGUCCGGAAUCACUGGGCGUAAAGGGCGCGUAGGUGGCGCGGGAAGUCAACGGUGAAAGUUCGGGGCUCAACCCUGAAUCGGCCGUCGAUACUCCCGGGCUCGAGCACUGUAGAGGCAGAUGGAAUUCCGGGUGUAGCGGUGGAAUGCGUAGAGAUCCGGAAGAACAUCGGUGGCGAAGGCGGUCUGCUGGGCAGUUGCUGACACUGAGGCGCGACAGCGUGGGGAGCAAACAGG
Molecule: ribosomal RNA, 253 nt
Filed under: uncultured bacterium
Lineage: Bacteria
Description: partial 16S ribosomal RNA
Rfam family: Bacterial small subunit ribosomal RNA
Source: RNAcentral